UACGUAGGGGGCAAGCGUUGUCCGGAAUCAUUGGGCGUAAAGAGCGUGUAGGCGGCCAGAAAAGUCCGCUGUGAAAACUCGAGGCUCAACUUCGAGCUGUCGGUGGAAACUUUCUGACUAGAGUGCGGUAGGGGAGACUGGAAUUCCUGGUGUAGCGGUGAAAUGCGCAGAUAUCAGGAGGAACACCAGUGGCGAAGGCGGGUCUCUGGGCCGUAACUGACGCUGAGGAGCGAAAGCGUGGGGAGCGAACAGG
This 253-nucleotide ribosomal RNA is filed under the name uncultured bacterium. Its description in RNAcentral is "partial 16S ribosomal RNA". It matches the Rfam family "Bacterial small subunit ribosomal RNA", at positions 524 to 776 of the family's 1533-position model. The record is from RNAcentral.